AGCGGGGUAGGAUAGCCAGGAGAUUCCGCCGGGCUCAUAACCCGGAGAUCAGUGGUUCAAAUCCACUCCCCGCUA
RNAcentral lists this transfer RNA (75 nucleotides) under Thermoplasmatota archaeon. RNAcentral's name for it is "tRNA-Met". It matches the Rfam family "tRNA". From Rfam's summary of the family: Transfer RNA (tRNA) molecules are approximately 80 nucleotides in length. The record is from RNAcentral. Lineage: Archaea; Methanobacteriati; Thermoplasmatota.